This is a transfer RNA of 73 nucleotides. It matches the Rfam family "tRNA". From Rfam's summary of the family: Transfer RNA (tRNA) molecules are approximately 80 nucleotides in length. Their secondary structure includes four short double-helical elements and three loops (D, anti-codon, and T loops). Further hydrogen bonds mediate the characteristic L-shaped molecular structure. tRNAs have two regions of fundamental functional importance: the anti-codon, which is responsible for specific mRNA codon recognition, and the 3' end, to which the tRNAs corresponding amino acid is attached (by aminoacyl-tRNA synthetases). tRNAs cope with the degeneracy of the genetic code in two manners: having more than one tRNA (with a specific anti-codon) for a particular amino acid; and 'wobble' base-pairing, i.e. permitting non-standard base-pairing at the 3rd anti-codon position. The record is from Rfam.
GCUCUUUUGGUGUAGUGGUUAUCACAUGACCUUUACACGGUCAGGGUCGUGGGUUCGAUCCCCACAAGGAGUA